GUCUAUGGCCAUGCCUCCCUUAACCAGCCUGAUCCCGUCUGAUCUUGGAAACCAAGCAGGGUCAGGCCUGGUUAGUACUUGGAUGAGAGACCACUUAGGAAGACCAGGUGCUGUAGGUG
This 119-nucleotide ribosomal RNA is filed under the name Pteropus alecto (black flying fox). The record is from RNAcentral. Lineage: Eukaryota; Metazoa; Chordata; Mammalia; Chiroptera; Pteropodidae.